CCUGCCCAUGGAGGUGUUUCAGGUGUGGCUGCUGUGUCACACAUGAGUCAGUAGGCAGCAGAGUGGAAAGAGGCUAUGUCUACCCUCAGUGUUCUGACCUGUGACCAUCUGAAUGAUGAGCAGCCUAACAUA
This 132-nucleotide small nucleolar RNA is filed under the name Mus caroli (Ryukyu mouse). RNAcentral's name for it is "predicted gene, 22900 (MGP_CAROLIEiJ_G0036369.1)". It matches the Rfam family "Small nucleolar RNA SNORA17". From Rfam's summary of the family: snoRNA ACA 17 belongs to the H/ACA family of snoRNAs and is predicted to guide pseudouridylation of the 28S rRNA at positions U4659 and U4598. It shares the same host gene together with ACA43. The record is from RNAcentral. Lineage: Eukaryota; Metazoa; Chordata; Mammalia; Rodentia; Muridae.